Salvia miltiorrhiza (redroot sage) is the source of this 1797-nucleotide long non-coding RNA. RefSeq lists it as uncharacterized. The record is from RefSeq and is a predicted model, not a curated record. NCBI's taxonomy places the organism in Eukaryota, Viridiplantae, Streptophyta, Magnoliopsida, Lamiales, Lamiaceae. The transcript is spliced from 5 exons.
CAGUGGAGGGUCGGCGAGGUGCAGCCCUUCCCUCGUCUCCCUCUCAAUCCCCCAUCUCUCAAUUCUUAUGAAGAAGACACAAAGCCCCAAAUUUACUCACAAAAUCGUGCCCUAGCUGCUCCUCCGGCGAAUCGCUGCUGCCAGUGGAGGGUCGGCGAGGUGCAGCCCUUCCCUCUCUCAUCCUCUUCACUCAAUCCUUCUCAUUUUCUCAAACUCCCAACCUCAAAAUCGUACCGAGCCCUAAUUAUCUCUCUCUACCUGAACCCAGCGAUGUCACCGCGGUUCCGGUUCGAUGUGCCGUCGUGCCGUCGGCUUGGGUUCCACAGAUUGUGUUUUGCUUCAAAGGAAAUCAGUAAGGGCUGUCGUCGACGCUGGGUCCUGAAACGGUGAGGUUCGCCGUUCUAACUUGAUGGGAACAGGGCAGUCGGGCUUCCUAAGAGCUAAGUCUUACUCUUGUCUCAUUUCUUAUCCAUUGUGAUAUAGUAUCAAUGUAAGCAUGUUGACUUCUUUGAGUAAGAAAAUAUCAGAACUUAACAUCUAUCAGUGUAUGUCGUGGCUAAAAUCUUAGAGGUUGGGAUCUCGCUUGGGUGCUUGUAUCAGAUAUUAUUAUGAGUCUCGCUUAGUUGAAUCUCUUCGUAAGUCAGAUACAUGUCAAAAUCUUAGAGGGAUUAGCUUACAUUAGUGGCAAGACCGGUCAUGCUUUAGACCAGAAUCCGUUUGUUCUGAUUGUUGGAAGAUGUGUAGAUUGCAUUUGGUAUUAGAUGCUAACAGGCGUGCUCACUUAUAUCCGAGAACUGAGGAGGCUCUUGAUAUAAUUUCCUUUGGUUUCAUUUUUCUUCUUCAGGUAGUUCAUACUCAAGCAAAGGUGACAGCAGACCAGGAAUGAAACUUGACCACCAACUUGAAGAAAAGUAAAGUGACAUGUUCUUCAGAAGGAAUGACUGCUGAAUAUAUUUAAUAGGAAUCAAGUUUCAGGCUGCAAAGCGCCAGGGAGAUGUUAUUCACUACUCUUGGCUCCUUGAAUGUUGUAUGCAGAAGCAGCUUCUCCCUUUACAGCCAAAGUACUUUCUUUUUCUAUCUGAGGCAACUAAGAAAAAGCUGGAAGAAGAAGUUGAUGAGUUUUCGGACUCCUACUAUUUGGAUUUAAAUGUGACAGAACUGGAACAUGUACAGAAAUUUUGUUAUACGUGUUCAAUUUUAAGAGAAGAUAUUAAACAACAUUGACAAGAUUGAAGAUUCUAAAGCAAAAGAGUACUGCAAGAAAUUCUGUCCCAGGGAGGAGUGGGUUCGCUUUCAUGGUUGUCGUGUUUACUUCCACCUACCCACUACCCAGGCAAUCUUUAAAAUACCGAAACUGGGAAGUUCCAUUUGAACUUGCUAUUAGAAGGAUGAAGAUUGAAAUCUGCAUUGGUGGUGGCAGUAUAGCAGACACUCUUUCUCAUGCUAUUCAUUUGGUGAUUGUGUCUAUUCCAGAACUUGGUUACGACUUUGAUACACUUUUGAAUAGGUGAGCUAUCCCAUGAAAAGCAACUUUAUUUUAACGGUUUCUGGUAAAAUAUAAUCUGGCUGCAGAAAUGAAGUAUAUCACACUUUUGGAAACGAGUGGUGCUGGAAAAUCGACGCUGCUGCUGUGAGGGGGCAAUCCGGAUCUGAAGUGAAGGCUUCAGAAUCGCAGAAAAGCUGGCGGCUACAAUAGCUUGGAGGGUCGCUGCUCCUAAUGGUAGCAUUCCUUCUAAUGACAUGGUAAACAUGUUUACCUUAACUAGUUUUUUGUUUGUCUACGACCUUCUCUGCAGU